AAUAGAUACCCUGGUAGUCCACGCCGUAAACGUUGGGUACUAGGUGUGGCGUCCCGAUCAACGGAUGCCGUGCCGAAGCUAACGCAUUAAGUACCCCGCCUGGGGAGUACGGCCGCAAGGCUAAAACUCAAAGGAAUUGACGGGUCCCCGCACAAGCGGCGGAGCAUGCGGCUUAAUUCGAUGCAACCCGAAGAACCUUACCUGGACUUGACAUCAUGGGAAAAGCCGUAGAAAUACGGUGUCCGUAAGGGUCCAUGACAGGUGGUGCAUGGCUGUCGUCAGCUCGUGUCGUGAGAUGUUGGGUUAAGUCCCGCAACGAGCGCAACCCUUGUCCUAUGUUGCCAGCGCGUUAUGGCGGGGACUCAUAGGAGACUGCCGGGGACAACUCGGAGGAAGGUGAGGACGACGUCAAGUCAUCAUGCCCCUUAUGUCCAGGGCUGCACGCAUGCUACAAUGGCCGGUACAACAGGCAGCGAACUCGCGAGGGUGAGCGAAUCCUCAAAGCCGGCUCAGUUCGGA
Molecule: ribosomal RNA, 519 nt
Filed under: uncultured bacterium
Lineage: Bacteria
Description: bacterial SSU rRNA
Rfam family: Bacterial small subunit ribosomal RNA
Source: RNAcentral